RNAcentral lists this transfer RNA (74 nucleotides) under Dorea longicatena. RNAcentral's name for it is "tRNA-Arg". It matches the Rfam family "tRNA". Rfam says of the family: Transfer RNA (tRNA) molecules are approximately 80 nucleotides in length. Their secondary structure includes four short double-helical elements and three loops (D, anti-codon, and T loops). Further hydrogen bonds mediate the characteristic L-shaped molecular structure. tRNAs have two regions of fundamental functional importance: the anti-codon, which is responsible for specific mRNA codon recognition, and the 3' end, to which the tRNAs corresponding amino acid is attached (by aminoacyl-tRNA synthetases). tRNAs cope with the degeneracy of the genetic code in two manners: having more than one tRNA (with a specific anti-codon) for a particular amino acid; and 'wobble' base-pairing, i.e. permitting non-standard base-pairing at the 3rd anti-codon position. Lineage: Bacteria; Bacillati; Bacillota; Clostridia; Lachnospirales; Lachnospiraceae. The record is from RNAcentral. RNAcentral also lists the same sequence under 1 other name.
GAGUCUGUAGCUCAGCUGGAUAGAGCAACGGCCUUCUAAGCCGUAGGUCGAGGGUUCGAAUCCCCCCAGACUCG